UUUUAGAAUUCCGCUUAGAAAUCUUUUUUAAAUAAAUCGAGCCGUUCAGGAGUGCGGGAUUUGGUGUUCGCUCGAUUCCGCCCCCUUCUCCUUCCUCGAGCUCCGGUCGACACGCGGUGGCAAUCAGCAGCCCCAGGAUGAUGUUGUUAUUAAAACCUUACAAUGGACAAAGACCUGUGGAGAGUUGCUGCUUCAGAAGUGCACUGCAGCAUUGGCCUUGGAGGUGUUCAUGAGGAGCUAGCAGCAGAUAUCUCCACCCACGUGGAGCAAAAAUUUAUGGACUACUCAAGAAACAUAACCUAAAAAAUGCGAGGAUUGAAGAAAGAAAAGAAGCUGAAGGGGAACAGUAUUAUAUUACACAUGGCAUUGUGAUGUUGUGGAUGAUGUUCUCAGUCAGAUGGAGUAGUGGAGCAGAGUCAACAUGAUAAUCAUCUGGCAUGUGUGUCUGCAGAAUUUUUUUCAUCAAGAUGUCCUCAUGGGAGGAUAGGAAGUGCGCUGAAGUACUGUUGGACUGCAUUAUGUGAACCUUCGCUACUCUGUAUAUGAUUUGUCUUCUCGGUGAGUGAAAAUUUCUGGCUGCUGUGAUUGUAUUAGUAGACUUGCAUGCCUUGUUCACUGGGUAUUUGGAAUCUGCUUUUUAAGGUGAUCUGUGUCAGUUGAUUUGAAUAAAACAUUGUUCACUUCCUCUUUAUCUUUUCGAAAGUUAUAGUGGAACAGGUAUCUAUGAACUCAUCAAUGACGAGAGUUAUAUUACUGAAGUCAAAUGUUUGGAGAGUUCAAAAGGACGAGCUUGGUGAUUCUGCUUCUACUUGUUAACAACUGAUUGCUUAAUUCUGAAGGUACUUAGAAGCAUAUGAUUUAACUGUUGCUUUUCUUGCAUCAAAUUGGAAAGUCUCUUUAUUGAAAAAGUUGAAGGAGCCAAAUAUCAUAAGAUUGGAGUGAGAUCACAGAGUAUUGAGUGGUGCUGAAGGCCAUUCAAUUAGAGCAUGCCAAGGCUUAUGGAGAUGAUGAGAACCCAUGUUGAGCAUUGAGUGCUUUGCAAAAAUUCCAACAGCUUCCUCUUUUAAAAGGAAAUGGAAUCUGACUUUAACCCCAAGUCAAGGAAGAUGACUGUAUGAGAGGGCUAAAGCUUAAGGAUAAAGCUGGUUCCUUCCUUGCUUUCUCCCUUUAACCACAGGGCAGUAAUUCUUCUCUUUUUUUUUCGCUUUUUUCCAAUAAGAUUUAUAACAUGUGUUCAUAAGUUGCUCAAUCAAAAUUAAAUGUUUAAAGCGCAGUAAGUGCAUGAUUGGACGUUGUUAGAUCACUAAUCUAACCUAUUUUGGGGGAAAACACUAAAGGAACUUGAGAUUCUCUUUUAGCUUCAAUUAUGUGGGAGUCAUCAUUGUUCUUUGUCAUCUUUGUUCUUUGCAUGCAGACUUGCAGCUGGCAAUGAGGGUAGGGACUGCUGAAAUUACUUCUGAGCUUUCAUUUCCUAUAAUGCAAGAUGCUCUGGCUUAGUUACCAUCCAGGUGGAACAAUUACCUUGUUGACUUUGGUGACUUGAAGGGACUGCAGCUUUUACCCACGAUCUUGGUUUGGAUACGACACCCAUACAGAAAAUAGAAAAUAUCAGCUCUUUUUAUUUUGGCCGAGAAAAAUAGAUAACCCUGUUAUAUUGAUUUAUAUGAUAUCAAAAAUAUAAUCCAAUAUUUUCCAAUCAAAUUGUAAUUCAUUGAUUUGAUA
Molecule: non-coding RNA, 1722 nt
Organism: Phoenix dactylifera (date palm)
Lineage: Eukaryota; Viridiplantae; Streptophyta; Magnoliopsida; Arecales; Arecaceae
Source: RefSeq, a predicted model, not a curated record